This 444-nucleotide ribosomal RNA is filed under the name uncultured bacterium. Its description in RNAcentral is "bacterial SSU rRNA". It matches the Rfam family "Bacterial small subunit ribosomal RNA", at positions 958 to 1397 of the family's 1533-position model. The record is from RNAcentral.
AACGCGAAGAACCUUACCUGGGCUUGACAUGUGGGGAAUCUCACGGAAACGUGGGAGUGCGUAGUAAUACGAGCCCCAGCACAGGUGCUGCAUGGCUGUCGUCAGCUCGUGUCGUGAGAUGUUGGGUUAAGUCCCGCAACGAGCGCGACCCUCAUCCCUAGUUGCCACCGGGUCAAGCCGAGCACUCUAGUGAAACCGCCCCGGAUAACGGGGAGGAAGGUGGGGAUGACGUCAAGUCCUCAUGGCCUUUAUGUCCAGGGCUACACACGUGCUACAAUGGUCGGUACAAACUGUCGCAAAGCUGCAAAGUGGAGCUAAUCGGAAAAAGCCGGCCUCAGUCCGGAUUGGAGUCUGCAACUCGACUCCAUGAAGCUGGAAUCGCUAGUAAUCGCAGAUCAGAACGCCGCGGUGAAUACGUCCCCGGGCCUUGUACACACCGCCCGU